GAUGAACGCUGGCGGCGUGCCUAAUACAUGCAAGUCGAGCGAACGGACGAGAAGCUUGCUUUUCUGAUGUUAGCGGUGGACGGGUGAGUAACACGUGGAUAACCUACCUAUAAGACUGGGAUAACUUCGGGAAACCGGAGCUAAUACCGGAUAAUAUUUUGAGCCGCAUGGUUCAAAAGUGAAAGACGGUCUUGCUGUCACUUAUAGAUGGAUCCGCGCUGCAUUAGCUAGUUGGUAAGGUAACGGCUUACCAAGGCAACGAUGCAUAGCCGACCUGAGAGGGUGAUCGGCCACACUGGAACUGAGACACGGUCCAGACUCCUACGGGAGGCAGCAGUAGGGAAUCUUCCGCAAUGGGCGAAAGCCUGACGGAGCAACGCCGCGUGAGUGAUGAAGGUCUUCGGAUCGUAAAACUCUGUUAUUAGGGAAGAACAUAUGUGUAAGUAACUGUGCACAUCUUGACGGUACCUAAUCAGAAAGCCACGGCUAACUACGUG
RNAcentral lists this ribosomal RNA (497 nucleotides) under uncultured bacterium. RNAcentral's name for it is "partial 16S ribosomal RNA". It matches the Rfam family "Bacterial small subunit ribosomal RNA", at positions 28 to 507 of the family's 1533-position model. The record is from RNAcentral.